UGCACUCACUACUGUAAGUUGCUCUGGAUAAGAGCAUGUGCUAAAUUACUAAAA
Salmo salar (Atlantic salmon) is the source of this 54-nucleotide non-coding RNA. The record is from Rfam. Lineage: Eukaryota; Metazoa; Chordata; Actinopteri; Salmoniformes; Salmonidae.